GACGAACGCUGGCGGCGUGCUUAACACAUGCAAGUCGAACGGAAAGGCCCUGCUUUUGUGGGGUGCUCGAGUGGCGAACGGGUGAGUAACACGUGAGUAACCUGCCCUUGACUUUGGGAUAACUUCAGGAAACUGGGGCUAAUACCGGAUAGGAGCUCCUGCUGCAUGGUGGGGGUUGGAAAGUUUCGGCGGUUGGGGAUGGACUCGCGGCUUAUCAGCUUGUUGGUGGGGUAGUGGCUUACCAAGGCUUUGACGGGUAGCCGGCAUGAGAGGGUGACCGGCCACAUUGGGCCUGCGAGACGGCCCAGACUCCUACGGGAGGCAGCGGUGGGGAAUAUGGCACAAUGAGCGGGAGCCUGAUACAGCGGCGCCGCGUGCGGAAUGACGGCCUUCGGGUUGUGAACCGCUUUCGCCUGUGACGAAGCGUGAGUGACGGUAAUGGGUAAAGAAGCACCGGCUAACUACGUG
This 468-nucleotide ribosomal RNA is filed under the name uncultured bacterium. Its description in RNAcentral is "partial 16S ribosomal RNA". It matches the Rfam family "Bacterial small subunit ribosomal RNA", at positions 28 to 507 of the family's 1533-position model. The record is from RNAcentral.